UACGUAGGGUGCGAGCGUUGUCCGGAAUUAUUGGGCGUAAAGGGCUCGUAGGCGGUUUGUCGCGUCGGGAGUGAAAACACCGGGCUUAACUCGGUGCUUGCUUUCGAUACGGGCAGACUAGAGGUAUGCAGGGGAGAACGGAAUUCCUGGUGUAGCGGUGAAAUGCGCAGAUAUCGGGAGGAACACCGGUGGCGAAGGCGGUUCUCUGGGCCUGACCUGACGCUGAGGAGCGAAAGCGUGGGGAGCGAACAGG
Molecule: ribosomal RNA, 253 nt
Filed under: uncultured bacterium
Lineage: Bacteria
Description: partial 16S ribosomal RNA
Rfam family: Bacterial small subunit ribosomal RNA
Source: RNAcentral